This 497-nucleotide ribosomal RNA is filed under the name uncultured bacterium. Its description in RNAcentral is "partial 16S ribosomal RNA". It matches the Rfam family "Bacterial small subunit ribosomal RNA", at positions 28 to 507 of the family's 1533-position model. The record is from RNAcentral.
GACGAACGCUGGCGGCGUGCCUAAUACAUGCAAGUUGAGCGCUGAAGGUUGGUACUUGUACCAACUGGAUGAGCAGCGCACGGGUGAGUAACGCGUGGUUAAUCUGCCUUUGAGCGGGGGACAACAUUUGGAAACGAAUGCUAAUACCGCAUAAAAACUUUAAACACAAGUUUUAAGUUUGAAAGAUGCAAUUACAUCACUCAAAGAUGAUCCCGCGUUGUAUUAGCUAGUUGGUGAGGUAAAGGCUCACCAAGGCGAUGUUACAUAGCCGACCUGAGAGGGUGAUGGGCCAUAUUGGGACUGAGACACGGCCCAAACUCCUGCGGGAGGCAGCAGUAGGGAAUCUUCGGCAAUGGACGAAAGUCUGACCGGGCAACGCCGCGUGAGUGAAGAAGGUUUUCAGAUCGUAAAGCUCUGUUGGUAGAGAAGAACGUUGGUUAGAGUGGAAAGCUCAGCAAGUGACGGUAACUACCCAGAAAGGGACGGCUAACUACGUG